Molecule: small nuclear RNA, 104 nt
Filed under: Helianthus annuus (common sunflower)
Lineage: Eukaryota; Viridiplantae; Streptophyta; Magnoliopsida; Asterales; Asteraceae
Source: RNAcentral
GUCUGUGUUCUCGGACAUCUGAUAAAAUUGGAACGAUACAGUGAAGAUUAAAGAUUAGUAUAGCUGCGCAAGGAUAACAAUGACACGAUAUUUAUUUGUUUUUU